GACGUAGGAGGCGAGCGUUGUCCGGAAUUAUUGGGCGUAAAGGGCUCGUAGGCGGUUUGUCACGUCGGGAGUGAAAACUCAGGGCUUAACCCUGAGCCUGCUUCCGAUACGGGCAGACUAGAGGUAUGCAGGGGAGAACGGAAUUCCUGGUGUAGCGGUGAAAUGCGCAGAUAUCAGGAGGAACACCGGUGGCGAAGGCGGUUCUCUGGGCAUUACCUGACGCUGAGGAGCGAAAGUGUGGGGAGCGAACAGG
Molecule: ribosomal RNA, 253 nt
Filed under: uncultured bacterium
Lineage: Bacteria
Description: partial 16S ribosomal RNA
Rfam family: Bacterial small subunit ribosomal RNA
Source: RNAcentral